AUAGAUCUUUGCAAUCUCCAUGACAUAACAUAAGCACCCGCAGCAGAAAAUGACAGAAACGUCCCCAGAUGAUUUCGGCUUCUCCAGCACUCGAUCAGACCAAGUUCCACGUUACCAGGUACGAUUGAAGCAUAUAUCUUUCAUUGUUUUUAGUUUAACCACCCACUUAAAAAGCCGAAACCAGGUGUUAUUUGCUUAAUGGCCGAGCCGUCGCUGCCAUCAAAUCUAAAGAGAAUCGAUGCUGGAUUCUCAACUUAUUUUUUAAUCGAAAAUCAACAUCUGCGACAAUUAUGUGAUUACAAAUCUCAUUUGUUAGCUUGUUCGUUUUUCUUCGUUCCAUAUUGGGGGUUUUCAAUCUGUCCAAAUGGGAAAAAAAAAAAUGUCUUGACAUACAGAUUGUACAAUUGUUUUGGACAGUUCACCACCGUUAAAUAACUCCAUAAUUUCACAUCUAUCUAUCUAUAUAUAUAUAUAAAGCUAGGACUUGAGGAGGUGAUGUGGCAUCACCAUUUUUCUUCUUUGUAUAUUCUCUAUUAUCUAAUAAAUAGAGAAUUUUUUUUUAGAUUUGACUUUUCAUCUUCUCAUAAUUAAUUUGAUUGUAUUUAACUCAUUUAAUAAAUAGUAAUUUUAUUAAUAUAUAUCAUUCCUCAUCUUUUUUUAUUUUCUAUUAUCUAAAAUAUCUAAAAUAUUGGUGGAUAUUCUUUGAACUUUUUUUCUCUUUCUAUUUAAAUUCAACAAUAUGUAAUCAUUAAUAAUAAUUAAUUAUAAGUCUUUUGAAACAUUUAUUUAUUUUAUUAUGCUAGCAAUUAAACUUUAGUGGCUUAAAAUACAUGAAUUAAUUAACAUAGGAAGAGAGAUUCUUUCAUUUAUAAAGCUAGGACUUGAGGAGGUGAUGUGGCAUCACCAUUUUGCUUCUUUGUAUAUUCUCUAUUAUCUAAUAAAUAGAGAAUUUUUUGUAGAUUUGGCUUUUCAUCUUCUCAUAAUUAAUUUGAUUGUAUUUAACUCAUUUAAUAAAUAAUAACUUUAUUAAUAUAUAUCAUUCCUCAUCUUUUUAUAUUUUAUAUUAUCUAAAAUAUCUAGAAUAUCUAUCUAUAUCUAUAUUUAUAUCUAUAUAUAUAUAUAUAUAUAUAAAGUUGGGACUACAAGAAGUGAUGUGGCAUCACCAUUUCUCAUCAUUUCAUAUUCUCUAUUAUCUAAUAAAUUGGUUGAAAUUAAAAAAAUAAUUACAUUAUAAAAUAUUAAAAUAGAAAACAAUUAUUAGAUUAUAAAUGAUUACAUGUAUUUUCCUCUUUCUAUUUAAAUUCAACAAUAUGUAACCAUUAAUAAUAAUUAAUUAUGAGUCUUGAAACAUUCAUUUAUUUUAUUAUGCCAACAAUUAAAUUUUAGUGGCUUAAAAUACAUCAAUUAAUUAAUAUAGGAAGAAAGGUUCCUUCAUCUUUCCUCAACAAUGUCAUUAGAGCCUAAUUUUAAUGUCAUAAUCCCAUAUUUAAUUAUUCAAUCUUUUGUUUAGUGCCUUUUGGCUUCUUCAAACUCCAUAAACAUUAAAUAUUUAAGAUUUGUGUCAUUAUUAUUUCUCAUCUUUUUUUAUUCUCUAUUAUCUAAUAUAUUGGUUGAGAUUAAAAAAUAAUUACAUUACAAAAUAUUACAAAUUUAUAUCUAUCUAUCUAUAUCUCUAUAUAUAUAUAAAGUUGAGACUAGAAAAGGUGAUGUGGCAUCACUAUUUCUCAUCUUCUUGUAUUCUCUAUUAUCUAAUAAAUUGGUUGAUAUUAAAAAAAUAAUUACAUUACAAAAUAUUAAAAAUAAAAAAUAAUUAUUAGAUUAUAAAAGAUUACAUGUCUCUUCCUCUUUCUAUUUAAAUUCAAUAAUAUGUAACCAUUAAUAAUAAUUAAUUAUAAAUCUUGAAAUAUUUAUUAUUUUAUUAUGCCAACAAUUAAACUUUAGUGACUUAAAUAUAUCAAUUAAUUAAUAUAGGAAGGAAUGUUCCUUCAUCUUCCCUCAACAAUUUUAUUAUGGUCUAAUUUUAAUGCUAUAAUCUCAUAUUUAAUUAUGCAACCUUUUGUUUAGUGCCUUUUGGCUUCUUCAAACUCUAUAAAUAUUAAGUAGUUAAGAUUUGUGGCAUUAUUAUUUAUUAUCUUUUUUAUAUUUUCUAUUAUCUAAUAUAUUGGUUGAGAUUAAAAAAUAAUUACAUUACAAAAUAUUAAAAAUAGAAAAUAAUUAAUAGAUUACAAAAAAUUACAUGUCUCUUCCUCUUUCUAUUUAAAUUCAACAAUAUGUAACCAUUAAUAAUAAAUUAAUUAUAAGUUUUGAAACAUUCAUUUAUUUUAUUAAGCCAACAACUAAACGUUAGUGGUUUAAAAUACAUCAACUAAUUAAUAUAAGAAAGAAUGUUCCUUCAUCUUUCCUCACCAAUGCCACUAGGACAUAAUUUUAAUGUCAUAAUCCCAUAUUUAAUUAUGCAACCUUUUAUUUAGUGUCUUUUGGCUUCUUCAAACUCUAUAAAUAUUAAGCAUUUAAGAUUUGUUAUGUUUGAGUUUUUUUUAUUAUUUAACCAACAUCAUCUUUAGAAAUGUUAUUGUGUUUUUAUUUUUUGACUUAUUUAAAUUUUUAGUAUUGUGUGUUUCAUGGAAUACUCUUUUCUUCAUGAGUUAAAUAAUGAUAAAGAUAGUUGGAUGAUAAGGGUUAGGCUUUGUAAGAUGUGGGAGUAUGUUAAUACUAAGAAAAAUAGAGAGUUGAUUAGUGUGAACAUAAUUUAUUUUCUUACUUUAUACUUACAAAAAAAUAAUUAACUUUCAUAAAUAAUAGUUAUUUUUAAUGUUAACAAAAAAAUAAUUAACUUUCAUAAAUAAUAGUUAUUUUUAAUGUUAACAAAAAAAUAAUUAACUUUCAUAAAUAAUAUUAGUUUUAUAAGACUGCGUCAUCUUUAAAAAAAAUAAUUCAUAUUUUUUAUCAGUUUCAUCAAGUAUAAAGUAAUAAAAAAAGAUAAUACUAAUUUUUUUUUUUAAAGCCGCACGAAGUGCGGUUCCAUUUCCUAAUUUUGAAUAUAAACUGUGGUUAUUUUGAACGUGUUUUAAGGUGUAGAGCGCGAAUUACAAUCACAUACGUAAAAUGAUAAAUGAUAAAAAAAAGAGUUAUAUCUUUAAUAAUGUGAUUACGAAAGUAUUUUCUACUUUAAAAUGGUUUCAAUAUAUCCAGACUUUUAAAUAUAUUACUUUUUAUAAUUUUAACUUAAAAAAAAAUUAGACACUUCUCAAAUAUUAAUUUUUUUUUUCCAUUCGUUUCUUAUUACGUGUAUGUUUCAACUAAUUAUAAUAACAUACAAAUUCAUAAAACUCAUUGAAUAUAUAAGAACUAAGGGUGAAAAAACAAAGCACCAUAAUUCAAUUUUACUAAGGAGAAAAACCCAUACCCGAAACUAAUGAGAAAACAAAAUACACUCAUGACGUCUCAUUCAAAUGCCUAUCGUCUGAACUUUUUAUUUUCUGUCUCAUCUACACCCUCUACGUUUCAGGAGUCACCACUAAACCAAUCUCCAUCACUAUCAAGUCCAUCACAAUUAUUAACACAACAUUUAUUUUUCAAUUUUCUUAUUUUUAAAACACAGUUAACAAAUUGGUUUAUAAAUCAAACUUGAUAAAUUAUAAAUUUUACAUCUCGUCUAAGGCGUUUGUUUGCUUUGAAAAUGAACAUUAUUAUCAAACUAGUUGAAGAUUUUUUUUCAUAUUCAAUAACAGCUAAUUGUAUAUUUUUUUAAAAGUUAACAACAAAGUCAGCUCAUCACUAAAUUAAAUUCCAAAUCAAAGAAGAUAUAUUUCUUGUAUGAAUCAAAGAAGUAACAAAAGUUUCGCACAUCUCUUUAUAAUAAGCAUAGCCAAGCUUGAAGGUGGCCGAUGAUCUGAACUUGCUUGGUCGUGAAUCCGAUUCAAUAUUAGAUAACCCAAUUUGUUCACUGUGUUUUACUCAAAAAAAUUAAAAAUAAAUAUUGUUUAAUUUGUUGAUGGACUUGGUUUGGGAUUGUUGAAAAAGAGAGAGUGCAGAUAAAACAUAAAUUUUAAUUUUAAUUUUUUUAAUGAGUCUAUAUAUAGAUUAGAUUAGAUUAAUUGAAAAGGAGGGCUGCUAAUGCAUAUUGUGGGGUCAAGUGUCAUCACUCCUUUGUUUUUUAAAGGAGGAGUGGAUUAAACCCAGUAAACACCUGGGCUGAAACGAAACCUAACUAGGCCCAGUAUAGGGCAAAAAGGCUGAGAGGUCGGCUACAAGUAUUGCUUUUAACACCCCAGUUUUAUCUUUAUUAAAACCCCCAUUUAAUUCUAUUUCUUUAAUACCAAAAAUACCCUUCUCUAAAUAAAUGCUUUUCUAAUUGUGAUUUUUAUUUUUUCAGAAUUUCAUUCUGUACUUCCUCAGUUCAAAACCCAGCGUAUGCAAUCGUGCCUAUCUUAUAGGCAAAUAAAAUCUCUUAAGUGACAAAUUUUUGAAUGCCAAUAAGUAAUUUAAAUUUAAUACAUUUUAGAUUUAUUGUUUAAAAGAUGUGUUCUUGUAUUGAAAUAAUUAAACUGCAAAGGAGGAGAAAGAAUAAUAGAUUAUUUUAAAUUUAUAGGGGGCUAAUUAGAAAAAUGAAAGAGUUAGAUGCCGAAAAAAAUGAUUCGCAGAACUGCAGAAGUAGGUUGUUGAAGCAUGAAGAAAUUGCAGCCAAAAAAAAAAAAAAAAGGAAUUCAGUUGCGGGUUGAUGUAUUUAGAGCGAAUAAAAAUGAAUUUCACUAAACUUUUUUUGUGCUCAAUUAUAAUAAAAUCCAAAGUGGGGUUUUAUAAGGGUAAUUUUUAAGGAUCUUUCUCGAGGUUUGUUGUAUUCACAUUUAGAUGGAAAGUAUAAUUAUAAUUACAAAAUCUUCCCCACCAUUUGUAUUUCCAUUCACUGACUGUUAGUAUAUUAGUGAAAUAACAAAAAUAUCCCUAAAGCCGAAAACACCCUCAUAACAGCCGUUAGGGUGCUGUUCAUUAAUAGAAUGAACUCCUAGUACACAUAUAAAAUAAAAUAAAAUAAAAUAAAACGUAAUAACCAAAUACUUGACAUUGCAUACUCAUUAACUAGAAAAAAAAGGAUAAAAUAUUGGUGAAGAAUUUAACAAAUUUUGUAUUUCAAUUAAGAAAAUCAUAUUUGUUUUAAAUUGUAAUCACAAACACGAUCCCAAAAUUUAAUUUCAUUAAGAAAAUCUCAAUUUUUGUAUUUCAAUUUUGUUAUAAAAAUUAGGAAUUAUAUUUAUGAUUACAAUGCUAAAACCCACUUUUAUUUAACACAUAAAUCACACGAAAAUAACUAAUUUCUAAUACGCAAUGGUUUGUUUAGCUCAUCACCAGUGCGAAUCACACUAAAAACACGCAUCAACUUUUUCAACAACUCAAACACAACAUUAAAUCCAUUUUCAAACACAAUAUCAAAUCAACCAAAAGGCUCUAACUUUAACAUGCAUUGAGUUAUUUGGAAUUUUCACCUUCUAUGAGGUUUAAUAACUUAUUCGUUUUUCGCCUAUCGCCAACAAUGGUCACUUGACGACAUCAUUUUCCCACCACUAGCACUUCGUUGUUCAUCACUCUUUUUUCAAAUUAAGACUUCUUCAAAUUUGAGCUUCAUUUAGCAAGGUUAGAAGCACAAAGAGAAGAAUCUGGUUGUGUUUGGGACUUUAGGUGGAUGAAUGAAUUGCUAAUUAGAUUGGGUUUGGAAGAUGAAAGAUAAGAUAUGUCCAAUGCAUCCUUGGAACCAGUGGAUAAUAAACUACACUGCGGUCAACUGAUAAUGAGGUUGUUUUUGAUUUUUUCAAAAUUUUAAAUAAUUUUUUUAUGAAAUUAUCCUUAUACAUUGACAAGAUAACAAAUGGAAUACAAACGGUAAGUGAGGUAUCUAAUAAUAUACUCAUAUUUUCUAUCUAAGUAUUAAUACGCCAAACUUCAAUGGAGAUCCUUAAAAAUUAACCGGUUUUAUAAACCUCGAUGGCUUAUUCAUGAUCAAUCCCAUCAAGUUCAAGUUGGGCCUGCGAAGACUUAACAGGAGAAAAAAAGGAAAAAUCAAACGUUAUGAAAUAAUUAACAAUCUAGGGGCAUUGGUGAAAAUAUCAUAAACCAAUUCCAUUACUCUCUUUCGUUGCCCUAAUAGUCGUCCCGUCAUCUAUAAAUAAAUAAGUUCAUAAAACCCUAGCAUUUGCCGCCUCUCUCAAUCUCAAAAUUCCCUUCUUCUCACCGCCAGAACGUUCUUUCACCUUUAUAAAUCUCAGGCUUUAUUUAAUACCCAUUACCUGAAACCUCUCUCUUAUGGUAAAGUUCGAAUUUUUUUUCCCCUUCUCCUUGUUCAUGCGUUCUGAUUUUGUUUAAUGUUUUUAGUCAAGCUGAUUUUGCAUGUGCCUAUGAUGGUGUUAAAUAUACUUUGAGAGUUACAUCUAUGAAACGAAUUUAAUCUGAGGCACUUGGCCGUUUUUAACAUCAACAAAGCUUUAUAUUUUGAACCAUUAUUAUUUUUUUUUCCAACACAAUAUUUUUUAGGGAUCUUUCACAUGCUUUUUCAAGAAAAAUGGAUUAAUGUAUUGUAAAAUAUGCAACUGAUGAUAGAACAGACAGGGACAUCAGUUACUCCCGAGGGAGAAUGAUGACUUAGUCUAAUGGGAAUCUCUCUGAUGCAUAUAUGAUGUUGAUUUUGUUGUUUGUUUUGUUGCUUCAAUUCUAAAUUUAUCUCUUAGUGGUUUCACAAUUUGUGUUUUGUUUGCAUUGAUGAAACUUUAUGCACUUUUAUACAUUUGGGUUAACAGUAAUCUUUUAUAUUUGUCUAUGUGGCUUGGGUUUCAUGUUUUAGGUUUUAUUUGAUACACACACUUAUCUGUUCCAGUGCUUCCACUGGUGCCAAAGAUAGUUUUAUCUAGAAUUACUAUGAGUUAUUUCUGCGAUUCAAAACCUCAAGCUGAGGCACCUCAGUUCUCUUUUACAUGUUGUGCUUUUCUCAAUCUAUUAAAAUUUGUUAGCGUGUUUGCAUCAUUGCACAUAAGUUAAAAUUUAAUUGAUAAUAACUGUUGAAUACUAUUAACUUCAAUGACUGAAUUACAUUAUGCUGUACUUGUUGUUUAGAACAAAAUUUGUUCCUAGGACACUAUUGGGUUGCCAAUGCUAGGCCAUGUGGAUUUAUGCUUUUGGGCUCUCAUUUAUAUUCUCAGGAAAAGACUCAAGUUUCUCACUUCAAUGAUUUUGUAGAAGCACCUAAUGCACUGUGAAACAUGCACAUGUUUUGAAUAACUUUUUUGUGGUUUUUGUGAAUGAUAUGUUAUCUCUUUAAACUUUCAAUUUGCCCAUGAUGCAUCUCAAAUGCACGUAUUAUCAGAUAUAAUUCUGAUGAAAUCUGAUUGUCACUACCUCUGAGGCAUAUUGAGAAUUUUCAUUUUGAUUAUGUAACCAAACUAAGUUGAGCCAGCUUCAAGUUAUUUUAUAAUUUUUUUUAAAUAACAAUUUGGUUAAGAGUUUAUAAGGGGGUGGAAAAUCAAUAUUUUCUUGUUUCCGUUAAAUGAUCCAUUAAUUCUAUUGGGAAAUAUGUUUGUUGAUUGUUGUCAAACUUGCAAAAUUACAAUUUCUAAUGCUUUAUUCUUUGUGGGCGCAUCAUGAAUUAUGAUGCCAAUAAUGGUCUUAAAUAUACUAUGAGUACAUGCUAAGAACAGAACAUAAUCUGAGGCAACUUAUCAAUUAUCUUGCAGUUUUGCUUAAUUUGUUUCUGUUAAAUGAUACAUGAAUUCUCUUUAGCUAUGUGUGUGUUUUUGGUUGCCGACUUGGUAAUAACUAUAGUCAAUGCAUUUUUGUUUGUCUUCUCAUUUGUUAUUUCUCUCUCUCUCUUUUUUAAAAAAUGGUCUUUAAUACUUUAAGAGCAUAUAUGCUGUGAACAGAAGUUAAUCUGAGGGAAACCUAUUUUAGUGAACUUCUAUCCCUUUUUUUUUUUAGACUAUUCAAGUUAAUUUGAUAGGCCUCUUAAAUAUUCUUGCUACUAUAUAAGUGAAUUGGUGUUGCAAAGGCCUGAUGAUUGUUGAACAAGAACGGAGAUUUGAAAUAUGUUCAUGUUGCAGCCUGAUUCCAAAAAUUGAGCUCCAUGAACAUGUUAUGUAAUAAACAUUUCUAUUUGAAAUAUGAAGGCCAGGGUAAAUAUUAUUUUUGAUUAUUAAUUUUUGUGGUUUCAAAACCCUGGUGGACCAACUUGUUUAAUUUCAUUUUUUGUUUGUUUUUGAUCUGUAUAAUUUAGUUUGUUAUUUCCUGGUUCCUUUGAGUGUUCACAUUUAACAAUCAGAGAUGAACCUACUAAGCAUGAGAUGGGAAUAAUUGGAGCCUUAAACCUCAAGAAUGAGGUGAAGAGUCUACAUUGAAUCUUCAGCUUAUUUUGUUCUUGUUCAUGAUUCUGACCUAACAUGAAAGUUUUAACUAACACAGAAUUUUGUAAUUAUAUCCUUUUUCUUAGUCUUUAGUAAAUUUUUAAUGAUUUAGCGCAUUGUCGACCCCGGGUGUGGCAAGCGGAGCUGUAAAUUUUCAUAUGGUUCUUUGCACUCCCUUUCUUAUUUUGCAAGUACUAAGCUAAUUUUUUUCAUGCGUUCAGCCACAUUUUAUUUAGCAUCCAACUCUAUCUUACAUUUAAUUUGUUUAUAAAUAAAAAGGGGUGCAAGGGUUUACAUGAAAAUUCAUAUUGUGCCAUAACAAGGUGAUAUGAUAGUAUUGAUACAGCUGUUGCAUCAUAGCCGGAGCUGGACGGAUGGACCCUUGAAUAAUGCUUUAGGAUUGUUACUGGCCGGAUCUUGAAGUCUAAAAUGUAAUUAAACUUCUGUUUGUAUCUUUAAAUAAGAAAAUGAGUCAUGAGUGUAAUCUCAUCUCUUCCUCGGGCAUUUGUAUUAAUAUUUCUAUUUCUUUUAAAAUUGUUUCUUUUAGACAUUUAUGUUACCGAUGUAACUAAUAUGGAUAUCAAAUAUUCAAUUAUGUAUGGAUAAUAACCAUCUAAGUACAAAUUAUAAUUAUUCAUGAUGGGUAUAUCCAUAUUCAACAUUUAAUACUGGAUAUGAAUAUGGAUUUUAUCCAUAUGGAUAUGGAUAUCCAUGGAUAUUAUUG
RNAcentral lists this long non-coding RNA (9105 nucleotides) under Citrus maxima (pomelo). The record is from RNAcentral. Lineage: Eukaryota; Viridiplantae; Streptophyta; Magnoliopsida; Sapindales; Rutaceae.